RNAcentral lists this ribosomal RNA (497 nucleotides) under uncultured bacterium. RNAcentral describes it as "partial 16S ribosomal RNA". It matches the Rfam family "Bacterial small subunit ribosomal RNA", at positions 28 to 507 of the family's 1533-position model. The record is from RNAcentral.
GAUGAACGCUGGCGGCGUGCCUAAUACAUGCAAGUCGAGCGAACGGACGAGAAGCUUGCUUCUCUGAUGUUAGCGGCGGACGGGUGAGUAACACGUGGAUAACCUACCUAUAAGACUGGGAUAACUUCGGGAAACCGUAGCUAAUACCGGAUAAUAUUUUGAACCGCAUGGUUCAAAAGUGAAAGACGGUCUUGCUGUCACUUAUAGAUGGAUCCGCGCUGCAUUAGCUAGUUGGUAAGGUAACGGCUUACCAAGGCAACGAUGCAUAGCCGACCUGAGAGGGUGAUCGGCCACACUGGAACUGAGACACGGUCCAGACUCCUACGGGAGGCAGCAGUAGGGAAUCGUCCGCAAUGGGCGAAAGCCUGACGGAGCAACGCCGCGUGAGUGAUGAUGGUCUUCGGAUCGUAAAACUCUGUUAUUAGGGAAGAACAUAUGUGUAAGUAACUGUGCACAUCUUGACGGUACCUAAUCAGAAAGCCACGGCUAACUACGUG